RNAcentral lists this ribosomal RNA (444 nucleotides) under uncultured bacterium. RNAcentral's name for it is "partial 16S ribosomal RNA". It matches the Rfam family "Bacterial small subunit ribosomal RNA", at positions 339 to 795 of the family's 1533-position model. The record is from RNAcentral.
CUACGGGAUGCUGCUGACGAGAAUAAUGGACACUGGGGGAAACCCUGAUCCUGCGACGUCGCGUGCUUGAUGAAGUCCUUCGGGAUGUAAAGAGCUUUUAUAGGGGAAUAACUUUUGUGAACGUACUCUAUGAAUAAGGGGAUGCAAAUCACGUGCCAGCAGCCGCGGUAAUACGUGAUCCCCAAGCGUUAUCCGGAUUUAUUGGGCGUAAAGAGUCUGUAGGCGGAUUGGAAAGUCUUUGGUUAAAUAUCUAGGGCUUAACCUUAGAGGUGCCAAAGAAACUUCCAGACUAGAGGGCGCUAGAGGCUGAUGGAACGGUCGGUGUAGGGGUGAUAUCCGUUGAUAUCGACCGGAACACUAAAAGCGAAGGCAUUCAGCUGGGGCGACCCUGACGCUGAGAGACGAAAGCGUGGGUAGCAAAAAGGAUUAGAUACCCCCGUAGUC